GUCCAUGUGUUUAUGGAUGACUUCUGAAAGAAAAAUAGCAAUGUUUGACAUAAGGCCAAGAAAUAGACCAAACUUCCUCAGAACGGAAUGUGAUUUUAGCAAGCUUCCAAAAUUCCAGUUGCUCACUGAAGCUUAUUGAAGAUAGUCAGACCUCGUGGGAUGGAAAUAGAGGCUGAACAGCACACAGAGAUGCAGAGCCAUCCUGUGAAUAUUUUUGUCUAAGCUGGGGUAAGUCCUUUUCUCAAGGUCCUGACCAGGUCCUUAGGAAUAUGCUGAGCUUAAAACCCUUCCCUUUAAGUUUUUGAAUCUCAAAGAAAAGUGUCCUUUGGAAAUGUUGGAUGAAAGUUGAACAUCGGUAGGUGAAACUCUUUGAGCACUUUGCAAACUACUGCAGCCAGACAGCUCUUUGCAUGAAUUCUGAACUGAAGAAUGUCAUUCAAAUUCUUCUGGGCCCAUUUUCUACCACUCCAAAAGGAAAUGCCCAGAGGAAGGGAAGACUUGGGAAAACAGAAAUAUUAGGAGGAAGCUGCGAUUUCCAAAUGGCAAGACAGCCCCACCAUCAAUACUUGAAGUUGGUAAGAUAAAUGACGCACUGGAGAGAAUGAGGAUUUGAGGAGUUUAUUGCUUAUAUUUGCACUGAAGAGACCAGAGUCACAUAAAUGGAAAAGAGAAUAAUGCAAGACUUGUGGAUGUUGGAUUCAUAAAAAAGAAAGCAAAUGAAAGCUGGAGAUGCCUAAAAAAGACUUCUUAUAUGCCAUGAGAGAUAAGGGCUCCCCUUCUGACAUUAGCAUCUAUUAUCUUCCUGGCUGAAUUCUUCCCUAAAGGGCGCUCGGCAUCCCUAGGUGGUUGCCAGUGUCAAGGCAACCUCACCAACUGUGAAGGCAUCCUGAGCUCCUGGAACAGGCAGAAAAGAAACCUGGCAGGAAGAUUUGGAGGUGGCUGCAAGCUGGCCUGACUUCUGCAGUGAAACAAGUCCCAGGAGCUGGAGAUACACCAUGCUGAGCUCCUGUUUCCUUGGUAAGAGGGUCGGUCUCCAAGCAGGCAAGGCUGUUCACAGCCCAAGGGCUUCUUUGUGUUGGCUAAGGGGGGCAUCGAUGUCUUGGAAAGAAUUAGAGCAUUCUGUAACGAGAAUCACUGGCCCCGAAUCCCCAGAAUGAGAGGUAUACAUGUUAACACCCUUGCAGAGCAAGAUGCUUGAAUACACUUGGGCACAAAGGGUCUGGAAGAUAGACAAUGGCUUCUGUGUUCUCAGGAAUAAGGAUUAGUGAUUUGUCCUUGUACCUAGGUAAGAGGAGGGGGAUUUCCUGGCCUAGGACACAUCUUUCAGGUUGGAGUUGUAAUGACAGUGAUAAUUUUCAACUGUGGAUUAUUGUAAGCUGUUCCAAGCAAGCAUGGAUGACUCCAUUUCAUGGACUGCAGAAAUUCUGUGCCUGUCCUGUCCAGUGAUUGAGUUAUAUCUGGUGCAUGGUAUGGACAAAACAUCUGUAAAAGAAACAGCCCGUAGUAUACAAUAAGAAGGUAAAGAUGUCAAAUAUUUUUAUUUUUUAUUUUUCAGGUAACAAAAAUAUUUUUUUUCCAAACAAAAUCUCCCUUGGAAAUUCACUAUACUAUAUGUAAGAGAUAAAAACAGAAUUAAGCUGAUCCACUGAUUCCUUAAACUGUAGGUGUGGGGAGCUGGGGGGCUGGGAUAUUGGAACUGGGGUCAUCAGCUCUUCCUGGUUUGCCCAGGACUUUACCCAAAAGUCCCAGGAUCCCCCUCAGUCCCAGGCAAAUUAGAACAGUAAGUCACCCUCGUGGAAACUCUGCUUUCUGGACCAGUCUUCUGUGGCUUCCCAUGGGAGCCUUUUGGGGCUCCAGGAAGCAAAGUGACAGUAGGAAGCAGGGUCUCUGUUGUUCAUUUCUUUAUUAUCUAUGCCAAGUUCUGUACUUUUCUUCCAGAAGGUACUUGAUAAAAUGUUGCCUGAAUUGAAAUAACAUAGGACUCCAAAACAUACUACUAUCACCAGCAUAGAGGAAAUGCCAGGAAGAUAAGGUGGGAGAAGGGAGGGUGCAUAUCAGCCUUCUAGAAUGUUCUGUUUCUAGGCAAGUUGCUUCAUGGGCAUUACUUCAGGACACCAUGAGGCAGGAUUCAGAGCUAGAACAGUGAGCUUGGAGUGGGAGCUGGAGUGAUAAUGCAGGUAUAUCUGUCUCUAGCACCCUUGACCUUGCAGGGGCAGUGCUGGGAUUCUUGUUUUGCUCAGCGGCACUGAGUUUGUUUAAAGUCAGAUGGCUGCAGUUUGCCUUCCAGCUGAUUUGCUUUAUGUGUGCAGAAGUAAUUACUGAAAUUGCUGCUGAUAACAAAUACAUACGUGCACCUCAAUUGCCUUUGCCCCUCCAAUUUGGUGAAGAAUGAACAGGGUUGGGGGAUUUACCAAUGUGGUGGGAAAUACAGUUCUUCCAGGGAAACCCAACUAGAGUGGCUGUUGGGUUUUUGUUUUGACCAACUAGAUCAAAGGAAACCAAGCAAGACAGGAGGCCUCUUGACACGGCAUAGUGCCAGUUAAGAACAUUUAGAAAUCCUUUCAGAAAUAUCCAGUGAAACUGGUUCCAAGUCCCCUUAAACAAACAUUCAGUGUUCCAAGCUAAAGUGGGAUCCUGCAGGUUCAGAGCUUGGGCUCAACAGACUGUAGACUUGCUGGGUUUGAAUCCUGGCUACGUACUGCCUGUGUGACCUUGGACAGGCUGCUUAACCUCUGUGCCUCAGUUUCAUCCUCUGUAAAAUAGGAAUCAUAACAGUAUCUGCCUUUUAGAGUCAUUAUGAGGCAGAAGCAGGAUGAAGCUGUAUUGUACCUACAAAAAUGCCCGGCAUAUAUGUAGGUGCUUAUAAAUGUGGAUUGUCAUUUCACCAAAUGAAUGUCUGUGUAUGGGAUGUAUUUGUAAUAGUUUCCCAGGACUGCUGUAAUACAGUACCUCAGGCUGGGUGGCUGAAACAAGAGAAAUUAUUGUCCCACAGUUCUGGAGGCUAGAAGUCCAAGAUCAAGGUAUCACACAAGUUGUUUCCAUCCUGAGGCUAUGAGAGAAUAUGUCCUGUGCCUGUCGCCUUGCUUCUGGUGGUUGCCUGGCAAUCUUUGGUGCUCCUUGGCUUGGAGGUGUAUCACCCUGAUCUGUUCAUUCACCUUCACAUGGCAUUACCUUGUGUGCCUGUCUGAGUCCACAGUUCCCCUUAAGGACACCAGUCAUAUCGGAUUGGGCCCACCGACUCCAAUGCAACCUCGUCUUUUU
Pan troglodytes (chimpanzee) is the source of this 3261-nucleotide long non-coding RNA. RefSeq lists it as uncharacterized. The transcript has 3 exons. Lineage: Eukaryota; Metazoa; Chordata; Mammalia; Primates; Hominidae. The record is from RefSeq and is a predicted model, not a curated record.